Oncorhynchus tshawytscha (Chinook salmon) is the source of this 1041-nucleotide long non-coding RNA. The record is from Ensembl. NCBI's taxonomy places the organism in Eukaryota, Metazoa, Chordata, Actinopteri, Salmoniformes, Salmonidae.
GGCCACUGAGGACCAGUUUACUCCUCCCUCACACACGAUAGAGACUGGCCACUGAGGACCUCUUUACCCCUACCUCCCAUCUCACACGUUAGAGACUGGCCACUGAGGACCACUUUACCCUUCCCUCCCAUCUCACACGAUAGAGACUGGCCACUGAGGACCACUAUACCCCUCCCUCCCACACGAUAGACACCGGCCACUGAGGACUACUUUACCCCUCCCUCCCACACGAUAGAGACUGGCCACUGAGGACCUCUUUACCCCUCCCUCCCACACGAUAGAGACUGGCCACUGAGGACUACUUUACUCCUCCCUCCCACACGAUAGAGACUGGCCCCCGAGGACUACUUUACCCCUCCCUCCCACACGAUAGAGACUGACUACUUUACUCCUCCCUCCCACACGAUAGAGACUGGCCCCGAGGACUACUUUACCCCUCCCUCCCACACGAUAGAGACUGUCCACUGAGGACCACUAUACCCCUCCCUCCCACACGAUAGACUGGCCACUGAGGACCACUUUACCCCUCCCUCUCACACGAUAGAGACUGGCCACUGAGGACCACUUUACCCCUCCCUCCCUCUCACACGAUAGAGACUGGUCACUGAGGACCACUUUACCCCUCCCUCCCACACGAUAGAGACUGGCCAGUGAGGACCACUAUACCCCUCCCUCCCCUCUCACACGAUAGAGACUGGCCACUGAGGACCACUUUACCCCUCCCACCCACACGAUAGAGACUGGCCACUGAGGACCACUAUACCCCUCCCUCCCACACGAUAGAGACUGUCCACUGAGGACCACUAUACCCCUCCCUCCCACACGAUAGAGACUGGCCACUGAGGACCACUAUACCCCUCCCUCCCUCCCACACGAUAGAGACUGGCCACUGAGGACCUCUUUACCCCUCCCUCCCACACGAUAGACUGGCCAGUGAGGACUACUUUACCCCUCCCUCCCACACGAUAGAGACUGGCCCCUGAGGACUACUUUACCCCUCCCUCCCACACGAUAGAGACUGGCCACUGAGGACUACUUUAC